CGCGGGAUGGAGCAGUUCGGUAGCUCGUCGGGCUCAUAACCCGAAGGUCGGGGGUUCAAAUCCCCCUCCCGCAACCA
Molecule: transfer RNA, 77 nt
Filed under: Oscillospiraceae bacterium
Lineage: Bacteria; Bacillati; Bacillota; Clostridia; Eubacteriales; Oscillospiraceae
Description: tRNA-Met
Rfam family: tRNA
About the family: Transfer RNA (tRNA) molecules are approximately 80 nucleotides in length. Their secondary structure includes four short double-helical elements and three loops (D, anti-codon, and T loops).
Source: RNAcentral